RNAcentral lists this ribosomal RNA (253 nucleotides) under uncultured bacterium. RNAcentral describes it as "partial 16S ribosomal RNA". It matches the Rfam family "Bacterial small subunit ribosomal RNA", at positions 524 to 776 of the family's 1533-position model. The record is from RNAcentral.
UACGUAGGUGGCAAGCGGUGUCCGGAUUUACUGGGCGUAAAGGGUGCGUAGGCGGACCUUUAAGUGAGAUGUGAAAUCCCCGAGCUUAACUUGGGGGCUGCAUUUCAAACUGGAGGUCUAGAGUGCAGGAGAGGAGAGUGGAAUUCCUAGUGUAGCGGUGAAAUGCGUAGAGAUUAGGAAGAACACCAGUGGCGAAGGCGACUCUCUGGACUGUAACUGACGCUGAGGCACGAAAGCGUGGGGAGCAAACAGG